RNAcentral lists this unclassified non-coding RNA (285 nucleotides) under plant metagenome. Its description in RNAcentral is "partial contains small subunit ribosomal RNA and internal transcribed spacer 1". The stretch from base 1 to 54 matches the Rfam family "Eukaryotic small subunit ribosomal RNA", at positions 1778 to 1831 of the family's 1831-position model. The record is from RNAcentral.
GGAAGUAAAAGUUGUAACAAGGUUUCCGUAGGUGAACCUGCGGAAGGAUCAUUAUUGUAUAACCGAGGUGCGAGGGCUGUCGCUGACCCGAAAGGUCGUGCACGCCCGAGUGCCCUCACACACAUCCAUCUCACCCCUAUGUGCACCACCGCGUGGGUCCCCCUUUGGCUUGUUCGGAGGGGGGCUUACGUUUUCACACAAACUUUGUAUGCAGUGUAGAAUGUAUUUUUUGUUUUUGCGAUCACGCAAUCAAUACAACUCUCGACAACGGAUCUCUUGGCUCUC